GGUAUGUGUAAAAUACCCUGUGGGAUUGUAGAAGCUUGGGGACAUCUGCUGGACACUUGUGCCUAGAGAUUAAUGACCCACUCCACAGGAUGUCCUGCAGAACUACCCCACUAAGUGACCACAUGCAUAUACUGAUUCAUUUAGGCCACUGCUGACUUCAAGGGUUGUUCAUACACUUAAAAAGAAAGAGAGUACAGUCACUUUAGAAGAAGGUCUCAUGGCUACCUAUAAAACUAAAUAUGCUCUUACCACAGCAUCGAACAAUCACACUCCUUGGUAUUUACCCAAAGGAGCUAAAAACGUAUGUCCACACAAAACCCAGCACAUGAAUAUUUACAGCAGUUCAUUCAUUAAUUUCUAAAACUUGGAAGAAACCAAGAUGCUCUUAAGUAGGUGAAUGGACAAAUAAGCAGUGGACCACCCAGACAAUGGAAUAUUAUUCAGUACUAAAAUGAAAUGAGCUAUCAAGCCAUGAAAAGAUAAGAAGAAACAUUAAGAGCAUAUUUCUAAAGUGAUAGGAGCCAAUCUGAAAGGUGUACGUACUGUAGGACUCCAACCAUAUAACAUCCUGGAAAAGACAAAGCUAUGGAGACAGUAAGAGAUUAGUGUUUGUCAAGAGUUGGAGAUCCAGGGGUAGGGGGAGCAUUGAGGAUUUUUAGGGCACUGAAAAUAUUCUGUAGGAUACUAUAAUAAUGGACCUAUGUCAUUAUACAUUUGCCCAAACCAAUUAGGAUAUAUAGCACCAAGAGUGACCUGUAAUGUAAUGUAAACUGUAACAAACUGUGGACUCCAGGUGAUAAUGUAGGUUCAUCCAUUGUUACAAAUGUACCACUCUGGUGGGGGAUGAUGCUGAUGGAGGAAGCUGUUUAUAUGUAUAAGGGCAAAUGGUAUAUGGGAAAUCACUGUACCUUUGGUUCAAUUUUGCUGUAAAUCUCAACCUACUCUAAAAAAAAUUCAAGUAUAAAUAAAUAAGUAAAUAGUGAAACAAAAAACAUAUUUUUCAAGAGAAACAGAAAGGGAGGUGCUUCUCUGUCAUGGAGUUGUUUGCAGCAUUUAUUUUCUCUUCUACAGGGGGCUCUAAGUCAGCAGGGCCACACACCACAAACAAGUCAAACUAAAAUAACAAAUGAAAGAUUCCUAGUGCUGAGAUGAGGAAAUUGGUGUGUUGUGAUGGGCAAGGUACUGAAUGUAUAUCCUUCCUUCCCCUGUUGGUUCAGAACACCUUGCCACAUGCUAGUAGGGAGGCUAGGUUCACACUCUUGCCAAAUAAUAAAGUCUAGAAACACAUUUUUUCCAGCAAAACUUUAAUAAGUAGCAAAAUAACUCUAAAGUAAGCAAAUUAGAGGUGAUAUAGAAUUC
Molecule: long non-coding RNA, 1359 nt
Organism: Phyllostomus discolor (pale spear-nosed bat)
Lineage: Eukaryota; Metazoa; Chordata; Mammalia; Chiroptera; Phyllostomidae
Exons: 4
Source: RefSeq, a predicted model, not a curated record